Molecule: long non-coding RNA, 213 nt
Filed under: Ricinus communis (castor bean)
Lineage: Eukaryota; Viridiplantae; Streptophyta; Magnoliopsida; Malpighiales; Euphorbiaceae
Description: long non-coding RNA (RCOM_LNC000554)
Source: RNAcentral
GGAGGUUGGUAUUCUCUCACUAGACUCUUCUUCUUGUCCUUAGUUUGCACAGGCUUUAUCACCUCAAGCUUUGGCUCCUUCCUGACUAGCUCAUCCUACACAAUAACAUCAUUAUCAGCCAUAGGUAAAGAACUAGAUAACUGCUUACCUGAUCUCAUGGUGAUAUCCUUGACAUGCUCCCUCGAGUUUGACUCUAUGGUACUAGUAAGCGUC